GCCCCGGGCUGCACCUGGCUCCCGAAGGCCAGCUUGGCGGCGGCGGCGGCCAGAGCCCCGAACGCCCCGGCGCACAGACAGUUGAACACGCCCCAGAAGCGGCGCCGCAUCGCGCCUUUCUGUAGGCGAGCGGGUAACUCCACGGGUGAGUCAGGGUAAGCGGCCGCAGACACGGCGGCACCCGAGGACUGCGGACCGGCCGCCAUGAGGCCCGCUGCGCCCGCCACGGCCGACUGCCACGCACGCCGCCACCCGCCGUGAGCCCGGCUAGGGCGGAGCCAGGCGAGUGAGGCGAAUCUGCUGCAGUGGAGUCCGGAGCCGAGCCGAGCCGAGCCUACAAAUGAAAGGAAUCUGGAGCCCAUACCCUGCAGCGUGUGCAAACCCGCGACUAAGGAGAGCCUGCGGCUCCGGCGAACCUGGGGGAUGGGAAUCCGGUAGCGAGGACCGUGCGCCACUGAAGGAAGCGUGCUACCGAGAGGUACCUACUGUGAGAGAGGAAUCUGCUGACGUGAACUUGGGGAGGAGGGGAGUUUAUCUCCGAGGAGAACCUGCGGCGGAAGUAACCUUGUUUCUGAAAGAGCCCUGCAGUCAAGGGGAACCUGCUUCUGAGAAGACGGGGAGGUCUGCCACUUUACAUGGAUGCGCACCUAACAUGCUAAUCCUGAAGCCAAGCUGCACCUUCAAAGCACCUCUGCUCCCUCGUGGACGCAGGAGAUGAUGGAUCUGGAGACCGGCCGCUUGAGACAGAACGUUGUUUGGGAAAACGUUUGUUCUGCCUGGACCAUCAGAAGCACAGUCACUUCUAAGUUCGUGUAAAGUAAUUGAGAACGACAAAAAAAUUGAAAAAACAACCAAAAAAAAAAAAAACCCAAACAAACCGUAAAAUGUCAUCUACUGUCGGUAAUUCCAGAUGCUUAGGAUGCUGAGGCAGUUAAUGGUCAUCCUGAGCAACUUAGGGAGACAUUGUCUCACUUGAGAGGGCUGGCAGCCAGGCAUGGUGGCACACACCCGUAAUCCUAGCACUUCUGAAGCUGAGGUAGAAUUACUGAGUUUGAGGCCAGCCUGACCAACAGAGAGGUACUAAGCAAGCCAAGGACUUUUUGAGACUCUCAAAAAGUUUUUGUUUUUGUAAUAAAGGAGAGUUGGGGUUAUAGCUCAGUGCUUCCAUAAUACAUGAAAAAUCCUGAAUUCAGUCAAUGGCAGUGUGUAUGGAUAUAUGUUAGGGAUACAUUUCCUUAAAGGAGAGCUGUAGAAGUGUAUAACGUGAGCUAAGUGUGGUGGUUGGUACACAUGAGGAAGCAGAGGCAAGUGGAUCUCUGUGAGUCCGAGAACAGCCUGCUCUAAAUAGCUCUACAUAGCCAGGGCUACACAGCAAAACUUGUUUUGUUGAUAUAUAAAAUACAAAUAAUAUUUAAUGUAUGGGGCUUGGAAGAAACACUUUAUUCCCUGUUAAAGAGCUUUUUCAUGGACAUUCUUACAUGCUACCUUGCUUCUCAUGCGGGUGGUUUUGUGGAUGAAAUAAAAGGAUGGAUUACUGGGGUUUGGAGAGAUUGCUUAGCAGUUAGGCAGCUUGCAACCUUCCCACAAGUGCCUCCCAACCUCAUACCUCCAGGGGUUCCACUAUUUUCUGGCCUCCAAAGGCACCUAUCCUCAUGUACAUAUAUAUACACCUGAACACAGAUACACAUUAAUACAUAAAAUUAAAUUUUAAAUAAAAAGAAUAGAUUAUCCCAAUUAGUCCUAUGUGGUAUAAACCACUCCAAUUUGCAGAUAAGGAAGUUGAGACUCAAGGGUACUCACUGUACUAUUCCACUUAAUAAUGGAGAUAGUGUGUGGCAACAACUGAUAGGAGAAGCUAAAACAAAUCUAAGCUGCAUCUGUCAAAGACUUUAUCCCACGGAUUAUAAAGGUAAUUAACAGAAAUGACCUUCAUGUUCUGGCAGAGUAAGGUAAGUAAGUAAGACAACUAAUUCACACAUCUUAUGCAUGCUCUGUAGAGAAAAAGUGGGCAACAGUGUAUUGUCUAGCUAUAUGACUUCCAAAAUUAGUGAUUUAAACCAAGGAAAGUUAGGGGGUUGAUUUAGGGUAUUAUUUGUGUAUCCAUGUCAGAACCUGAUUGGCCUGGGUGUGACGGUGUGUAACUAAAAUCCUAGGACUUUGGAGGCAGAGGCAGGGGGAUCAGGAACUUAAGGGAGUUUAAAAGCAAACCUGGAUUACAUGAGACCCUGCUUCUCCUAUAGCUUUGGUUACUAUGGCCCUUGUACUGGCUGGUUUUGUGUCAACUUGACACAGCUGGAGUUAUCACAGAGAAAGGAACUUCAGUUGAGGAAAUGCCUCCAUGAGAUCCAACUGUAAGGCAUUUUCUCAAUUAGUGAUCAAGGGGGAAAGGCCCCUUGUGGGUGGUGCCAUCCCUGGGCUGGUAGUCUUGGGUUCUAUAAGAAAGCAGGCUGAACAAGCCAGGGGAAGCAAGCCAGUAAAGAACAUCCGUCCAUGGCUUCUGCAUCAGCUCCUGCUUGAGUUCCAGUCCUGACUUCCUUUGGUGAUGAACAGCACUAUGGAAGUGUAAGCUGAAUAAACCCUUUCCUCCCCA
RNAcentral lists this long non-coding RNA (2590 nucleotides) under Mus musculus (house mouse). RNAcentral describes it as "predicted gene 9856 (Gm9856)". Lineage: Eukaryota; Metazoa; Chordata; Mammalia; Rodentia; Muridae. The record is from RNAcentral.